Long non-coding RNA from Anoplopoma fimbria (sablefish), 391 nucleotides. RefSeq lists it as uncharacterized. Lineage: Eukaryota; Metazoa; Chordata; Actinopteri; Perciformes; Anoplopomatidae. The transcript is spliced from 3 exons. The record is from RefSeq and is a predicted model, not a curated record.
GGAAAGAGAAGGUUGGAUCUUCAGGGCGAGUCUAGCCAAUCACCAACUAAAAAACAACGACUUCACACAAAACCAGGAUCAUACUCAGAAGAAAUCAUACUGUCUGAUGUGAAAAAGAUCAUGGAAGGUGUCAAAAAGAAAAUACCUAGCCAAGACAACAAGCUAAACAAUUUCCUGAGGAAAGAAAUCAGUGGUUUGGAGACAGACAAGAGGGAGAUGGUCGGUGUCUUUGGCAAAACCGGGGCUGGAAAGAGCUCUUUGAUAAAUGCCGUCAUUGGAGUGAAGAAUCUCUUGCCCUCUGGAAGAGUCAGAGCAUGUACCUCAGUCAUGAUUAAAGUGGAGGCUAACAUGCAGAACUCAAAGUAUGAGGCAGACAUUGAGUUCAUUACAG